This 77-nucleotide transfer RNA is filed under the name bacterium (Candidatus Howlettbacteria) CG23_combo_of_CG06-09_8_20_14_all_37_9. RNAcentral's name for it is "tRNA-Glu". It matches the Rfam family "tRNA". Rfam says of the family: Transfer RNA (tRNA) molecules are approximately 80 nucleotides in length. Their secondary structure includes four short double-helical elements and three loops (D, anti-codon, and T loops). Further hydrogen bonds mediate the characteristic L-shaped molecular structure. tRNAs have two regions of fundamental functional importance: the anti-codon, which is responsible for specific mRNA codon recognition, and the 3' end, to which the tRNAs corresponding amino acid is attached (by aminoacyl-tRNA synthetases). tRNAs cope with the degeneracy of the genetic code in two manners: having more than one tRNA (with a specific anti-codon) for a particular amino acid; and 'wobble' base-pairing, i.e. permitting non-standard base-pairing at the 3rd anti-codon position. The record is from RNAcentral.
GGCCCCGUCGUCUAGAGGCCUAGGAUAUCAGGUUUUCAUCCUGAAGAUCGCGGGUUCGAAUCCCGCCGGGGCUGCCA